GAAGUUGAAAAGAACUUUGAAGAGAGAGUUCAAGAGUACGUGAAACCGUUCAGGGGUAAACCUGCGAAACUCGAAUGAACGAACGGAGAGAUUCAUCGUCAUUCGACGGCGUACGGGCGCGCGCCUCGAUGUCGCACACCUCCCCUCGCGGGUGCGGUCAAGUGCGGCACGGGUCGCGUCCGUCGACGUCCGUCGACGGCGUGCACUUCUCUCUCAGUAAUACAUCGCGACCCGUUCGAUGUCGGUCUAAGCGCCGUCCGGGAGUCCGCGUAGUCGUGUUCGCGCACGCGCUACUCGGACCGUGACGGUGGCCGACCGGCCGUCGGACGGUAGUACAAAAUCGUACUGAUAAUACGAAUCGCGCACGCGCCUAGCGCGCGUCCGGCCCGACGCAAGCGAACGCCGUACCUAAAGUUUCGAUGUCCUGCCCGAGCGCGGACGUCGACGCGGCGCUGCUGUCGUCGCAGCCGUGCUGUCUCGGACCGUGCGCGUAUCCGUCUGCGAUGAUUCAUUUUCGGGCACUCGCAGGACCCGUCUUGAAACACGGCA
Molecule: ribosomal RNA, 549 nt
Filed under: Hypolimnas bolina (common eggfly)
Lineage: Eukaryota; Metazoa; Arthropoda; Insecta; Lepidoptera; Nymphalidae
Description: eukaryotic LSU rRNA
Rfam family: Eukaryotic large subunit ribosomal RNA
Source: RNAcentral